GAUGAACGCUGGCGGCGUGCCUAAUACAUGCAAGUCGAGCGAACGGACGAGAAGCUUGCUUCUCUGAUGUUAGCGGCGGACGGGUGAGUAACACGUGGAUAACCUACCUAUAAGACUGGGAUAACUUCGGGAAACCGUAGCUAAUACCGGAUCAUAUUUUGAACCGCAUGGUUCAAUAGUGAAAGACGGUCUUGCUGUCACUUAUAGAUGGAUCCGCGCUGGAUUAGCUAGUUGGUAAGGUAACGGCUUACCAAGGCAACGAUGCAUAGCCGACCUGAGAGGGUGAUCGGCCACACUGGAACUGAGACACGGUCCAGACUCCUACGGGAGGCAGCAGUAGGGAAUCUUCCGCAAUGGGCGAAAGCCUGACGGAGCAACGCCGCGUGAGUGAUGAAGGUCUUCGGAUCGUAAAACUCUGUUAUUAGGGAAGAACAUAUGUGUAAGUAACUGUGCACGUCUUGACGGUACCUAAUCAGAAAGCCACGGCUAACUACGUG
Molecule: ribosomal RNA, 497 nt
Filed under: uncultured bacterium
Lineage: Bacteria
Description: partial 16S ribosomal RNA
Rfam family: Bacterial small subunit ribosomal RNA
Source: RNAcentral